RNAcentral lists this ribosomal RNA (256 nucleotides) under uncultured bacterium. RNAcentral's name for it is "partial 16S ribosomal RNA". It matches the Rfam family "Bacterial small subunit ribosomal RNA", at positions 521 to 776 of the family's 1533-position model. The record is from RNAcentral.
UAAUACGUAGGGUGCAAGCGUUAAUCGGAAUUACUGGGCGUAAAGCGUGCGCAGGCGGAUGUUUAAGCCAGAUGUGAAAGCCCCGAGCUUAACUUGGGAAUUGCGUUUGGAACUGAGCAUCUAGAGUCUGUCAGAGGGGGAUGGAAUUCCACGUGUAGCAGUGAAAUGCGUAGAGAUGUGGAGGAACACCGAUGGCGAAGGCAGUCCCCUGGGAUAAGACUGACGCUCAUGCACGAAAGCGUGGGGAGCAAACAGG